GAUGAAAAUAAGUAGUCUAUGAAGAUUUGUACAUAAUGUUUGUAUGAAGAAAGAAAGAAUCAUCAUUUUAAUGAAAUUUUUCUAGAGUAGAUGAAUUUGUAUUGGUACAUGAAAUUUUGAAAUUGUCUAAAUUGGUGAAUAAUGGCUAGAUUUUGUUGCCAGUGGAUUUUGUGCUACUUUUUCUAUUAUUGAAAUAUGUAUCAAACUGAAAAUGAAAAUUAAAGAGUUAUGAUGCAUAUGUUGACAGAACACCAAUAUAAACUCCCCCUCAAGAACUCGAGACAGUGCUCUAAUCUACGCCCUAAACUAAAAUUUUCUUCAUAACAAAAUCUCAAAAGGGUUUAGCUUCAAUACAUAUGGGAUAUGGCUCUGAGUAUCAUCCAACUGGCUUAGUGUCGUGUAUAUAUGACAAGGAUGUAUCAAGAUUCUAAAAUUCAAAUCUACAAAGCUAUCUUGACUAUUUGUAGCUAAUUACUAUAGGUGUUUGAGAGAACUGAUUGGCGAAGCUCGUGUGACCAUGACUUCAUUAACUUUGACUCUUGGACAUCCUAACUUAUUUCACCACAAAUGAAAUAUGUAAAAUUCAGCGUGCUGAAUCCAUUUGCUUGCUGGCCCAAGAUUUGAGUUGGUAUUUCUUUCGUUUUCGCAAACAGUUUUUCGUGCUUAUACCUUAUUGUGACAAGUCCAAACUGGUUCAUUUGAAGAACAAUGUGGAAUUAUAGGGAGACAAUUAAAUAGAAAGUUUCAAAAAUCAUUGACUAGACCAGGCUUAGGCUAGGGAAGCAAGUUUUUUCUUAGUUCAGAGACUUAUUCCCAUCAUAUUGUUUCAAUUUUAAAUUCGUUAUUUAGUGUAGAUUUGACUAUGCCAUGCAGAUAAAUGAACUUAUAUAUUUACAAUUGUUGUCUACCUAUUAGAAUGCUACAUUAAUGUAGUUUUGUGCAUAAUUUCUACAAUCUUACCUCUUUGGCUUCUAUUAGCUUUUCUUUGAGAAAAUUGAGGUUGUUAAAGUUCUUAUACUAACACUUGUUGCUGUCGUGCCAACUUCAGCAGCAUCAAAGUGAAGAGAUGUUAAAGGCAAAUAGAGAAAGCGACGGGAUAGGAAGGAGGCAGAGAAUGCGUACACCACUCAGGGGCUUUGUCGUGUUCGACUUAUUCAUGGUCUUGUUCUUCACUAAUGUUAAUAAAAUAUUGUAAACUUGCACUAGAUUUCCUGAAUGGUUGAUGCACUGAAUGUAUAGUUGAUGCUUUAGUACUGUUAAGUGCUUCAUUUCUAGGAUAUUACCGUUUUGUACUAGAUUUCCUGAAUUUCAGUUAGUUUAAUAAAAUAAGUAUGUUGACAGUGAAUAUCGUGUGUAUUUUUUCCCUUUGAAAACUG
This 1376-nucleotide long non-coding RNA is filed under the name Olea europaea subsp. europaea. Lineage: Eukaryota; Viridiplantae; Streptophyta; Magnoliopsida; Lamiales; Oleaceae. The record is from RNAcentral.